AUGAAAAAACACAGCUUGAAAAUCAUAGCUGCCCUGCACGACAGACUGCAGGCCGCCUUCCGGCGUGCCCCGCCCCGCCGCGCUGCUGACGUGAGAGGGCGGCAGCGGCAGCUAUGGCGGCGUCCGUGGUUCCCGAGACGGACAGCAUUCGCAGGGCCGUGCUGCUGCUCAACGCCGUGGACCCGGGCCGGUUCCCGCGCCUGCUGUCCCGCCUGCUGCAGAGGCUGCACCUGAAGGUGGGCGGCGCGGCUCGGCUCGGAACCGUUCUGCCAACGCGUUUGUCACCUUUGCCGAUCAUUUAUAUGCUCAUUUGCUUAUUUUUCAUUGUGCGUUAGGCAUAAAAUCAGCAGUUGGUUUCACUGCGUCGUCCCAAAACGUCAAAGGGAAUUUAAAUUUGGAACUGUAAGAUAAAUGAAUAAACAGAAGUGCUUUUGUUGUGAGGAUUUCUUUCAAUUCUGUUUUUAUUCUUGAGAUCGCUUUCAUUUGUCCCUUUGUUCUGUGCUUAGAAGAAACAGAACCGAAAUAUGAAGUUUGCAUUACGCAAAUGUGCAGGCUGGCACUAAAACAGUGCAGGGUGGGAGCAGCACGGGUAGAAGUAAAAGCUUGUUCGUGGCCGCAGCUCAGGGGCUGUGAGGAUUCUUUUGUUACUUUAUUCUGUUUCUGGUUUCUCCCUUCCGGAAUUGCUGGCUUGCAUGCUGCUGUUAUCUCAGAGAGCUCUCUCAGUUGUUCUGAGUGGAUAGCAGCUCGUUAAGAAAGCGUCACUAACUCUUUUGGUGCUCAGUACCAGAUUAAUAGCUUUUAACAUGAGCGGGGUUUGUGAAGAGUGAGCUUAGUUAAAGAGACCCAUCUCAUGGAUCUUUCCAUUGGCCUUCCCAAAGUACCUGACCUGGGGAUGAAGGCCCUGGGGCCUUUCAAUGAAUUUACUUUCCUAACAGAGCAGAUGCGUGGAGCUCCACAUCUGCUUUUAAAAGCUGAUCAUUCAAAUAACAUUUCUGUUUUGCUACUGUUCCUGCAGACAUUGUGAUUGUUGAAGUUUUGGUGUAAUUGCCUUAUCUUGUUUAUUCUGUCAGCUCAUUUGCCUUUUUUUGGUGGAGCUCUGCAGUGUUGGGCUGCUAACUGGUCAAAACAUGGCAUUCUGAUGUUUGCAGCAUAGUAAUUGCAUUUUAAAGGAUGA
RNAcentral lists this long non-coding RNA (1174 nucleotides) under Pavo cristatus (Indian peafowl). Its description in RNAcentral is "lncRNA (ENSPSTG00000006742.1)". Lineage: Eukaryota; Metazoa; Chordata; Aves; Galliformes; Phasianidae. The record is from RNAcentral.